AGGGCGCCCGGGGCGGGCAGUAACGGCGCCCGGGGCGGGGCGGGCCGCCAUGGAAGUGCGCAGCGAGGCUGCCUGCCUGCCGUCGGGGGACGACAGCCAUGCUGCCUCGCUGGCAAGGAGAGCAGAAGAUGGAGAUCCCUGGACGUGCUUUCUAAGAGGACAGCGGUACUAUGAAGAGGGGAGGUAUGAAGAAGCAUUCGUACAAUUUGAAAAAAACAAGGACACAGAUUUUCAGGCACUGUAUCAGCUUGGUGUAAUGCAUUAUGAUGGACUAGGCACUAAUAAGGACCCUGAAAAGGGAGUGGAAUACAUGAAGAAAAUACUCUACUCUGAUUCCCCAGAGGCAAAACACUUAAGGUUUGCAGCUGCGUACAAUCUUGGCAGAGCACAUUAUGAAGGAUAUGGUGUUAAGCAUUCAACUGAAGAGGCUGAAAGGUUGUGGCUUAUUGCUGCAGACCAUGGGAAUCCAAAAGCAAGUGUGAAGGCCCAGAGUACUUUAGGAAUGCUUUAUUCCAUGCCAGAUCUAAAAGAUCUGAAGAAGGCCUUUUUCUGGCACUCAGAAGCAUGUGGCAACGGAAGCCUGGAAUCACAGGGUGCACUUGGUGUUAUGUAUCUCUAUGGACAAGGUAUACGUCGGAACAGUAAGGCUGCUCUGAAGUGCUUGAAAGCAGCAGCAGAAAGAGGAAACAUCUAUGCUCAAGGCCACCUUGUGGAAUAUUAUUACAGUAGAAGAUUCUUCUCAACAGCUGCUGCCAUAGCCAAAAGGACUACAGAAAAUGACAACAUCGAGAUGCUAGCAACGAUGACUGAUUGUCUCCCUGCAUAUGCAGCCAAAGGGGUUGCUAUAGCUGCCUUCUACCUGGCUAGGUGCCUCCAUCUUGGCCGAGGCACAGAGAAAGAUGAAGCUGCUGCUAAAAAAUACUAUUCUAAGGCUUGCCUUCUGGAUCCUGAUGUUGCUUCUGAACUUGAACUGAAAGCUAAUCUUGGAAGAAUUUAAGUGUUUCCUUCAGUUCUGGCAGAACAUCACAGGUAACAGCAGCAUACAAGGUCCUUCCGCUCAUCUUCCAUGCAACUGCUCUUCUGAAAGCCUCGGAUUCUCCAAGCAAUGCAGUAAAUUCAGAUAUACCCUGAAGCAUCACUUCUAAUUGAAAAACAAAUAAGAAAACCCAAACCUGUUCUAGGACAGCGCCCCAGAAGCAUGCACACUCAAGGGGAAGCUGCCUCACUUGGUGGUUGAUUAAAGGGCAUUAAAUGAAAGCGCUGCAAACCCCAUUCUGCCUGGGGUGCUUCUGUCCAGGCUGCAGGUCCUUCCAUAUUCAAUGCCCUGAAACCUCUUCUCAGAAAUGCACAGCAUCACACAACAAUGACAACAUGGGUAGAUAGAGCAAGUGGCAGUGGCUGUGGUGCCACUCUUCCUGUAUGUCAAGUAGUUCCAGGCAGCAGAACCACCUCCUGUUUGCUCUCUGGGAUAUAGCAGAGAGUACCCAGACUUCACUUAGCUUUCUUAAUGAGUAUUAUGUACAAACUCCAGCAAUACUGGACCUUCUAUCCUCUGGUACUACCCUAGCCUGUGCCAUUUACCAGACAAAGAUGGGAGAAGCAAAGAAUAAGGCCAAAAUUACACUUAUUUAUGCAAAUAAGCAUGACUUACAGCUCCAAAGGAAAAAUCUAAAAUGCAGCAGAACAGGACCUGAUUAACUGGUUUCCUUACUAGUUAUUAGAUAUGGGAUUAAGCAGAAUGGAGGUGUUCUCACCUGG
This is an RNA transcript of Tympanuchus pallidicinctus (lesser prairie-chicken), 1758 nucleotides long. It is a transcript of the gene named LRP2 binding protein, with no coding region annotated. The record is from RefSeq and is a predicted model, not a curated record. Lineage: Eukaryota; Metazoa; Chordata; Aves; Galliformes; Phasianidae. The transcript has 10 exons.